Molecule: ribosomal RNA, 253 nt
Filed under: uncultured bacterium
Lineage: Bacteria
Description: partial 16S ribosomal RNA
Rfam family: Bacterial small subunit ribosomal RNA
Source: RNAcentral
UACAGAGGUCUCAAGCGUUGUUCGGAUUCAUUGGGCGUAAAGGGUGCGUAGGUGGCGGGGUAAGUCAGGUGUGAAAUCUCGGGGCUCAACCCCGAAACUGCACUUGAUACUGCCUUGCUCGAGUACUGGAGAGGAGAUUGGAAUUUACGGUGUAGCAGUGAAAUGCGUAGAUAUCGUAAGGAAGACCAGUGGCGAAGGCGGGUCUCUGGACAGUUCCUGACACUGAGGCACGAAGGCCAGGGGAGCAAACGGG